Molecule: ribosomal RNA, 549 nt
Filed under: uncultured bacterium
Lineage: Bacteria
Description: partial 16S ribosomal RNA
Rfam family: Bacterial small subunit ribosomal RNA
Source: RNAcentral
UAGGGAAUCUUCCACAAUGGACGCAAGUCUGAUGGAGCAACGCCGCGUGAGUGAAGAAGGUUUUCGGACCGUAAAGCUCUGUUGUUGGUGAAGAAGGAUAGAGGUAGUAACUGGCCUUUAUUUGACGGUAAUCAACCAGAAAGUCACGGCUAACUACGUGCCAGCAGCCGCGGUAAUACGUAGGUGGCAAGCGUUGUCCAGAUUUAUUGGGCGUAAAGCGAGCGCAGGCGGAAGAAUAAGUCUGAUGUGAAAGCCCUCGGCUUAACCGAGGAAUUGCAUCGGAAACUGUUUUUCUUGAGUGCAGAAGAGGAGAGUAGAACUCCAUGUGUAGCGGUGGAAUGCGUAGAUAUAUGGAAGAAUACCAGUGGCGAAGGCGGCUCUCUGGUCUGCAACUGACGCUGAGGCUCGAAAGCAUGGGUAGCGAACAGGAUUAGAUACCCUGGUAGUCCAUGCCGUAAACGAUGAGUGCUAAGUGUUGGGAGGCUUCCGCCUCUCAGUGCUGCAGCUAACGCAUUAAGCACUCCGCCUGGGGGAGUACGACCGCAAAGG